Molecule: long non-coding RNA, 414 nt
Organism: Vicia villosa (hairy vetch)
Lineage: Eukaryota; Viridiplantae; Streptophyta; Magnoliopsida; Fabales; Fabaceae
Exons: 2
Source: RefSeq, a predicted model, not a curated record
ACAUUAAUACAACUAAAAGACAUUUGAUUUUUUUUUUUUAAUGGUCUCUUGCAACAUCAUAAUUGCUAAACAUUAUUUAUUUCAGUAUGAUAUAAAUUGGUAGAAUGAAAGUUUUUACAUUCCAAAGUGCUGAAACAAUUUGGUAUUUUUGCCUUUCCACAGGGAAAAAUAUGUCUAAAGUUUUUACUUUUGUUUAUAUUAUAAUAAUUUUUCUUUUCUUAAUCACAGAAGGUUCAAGUUACAUUGGAUUAGAUUUAUGCAGUACUGAUAAAGAUUGUUCUGCUACUGAGUGUGGGCUUCCAGAAGUUGCAAAAUGCAUAAAGCACAUUUGUGAAUGUGUAAAAUAUUAAUGGAAUCUCUAGAAACAUGUAGUUUUUAAAUAAAAAAUAAUAAAUGGUUUUAUCAUUUCUCUCA